UAAAGCUGUUUCCGUGGGGAAAAUUUGUCUUGAAAAUGAAUUUUAAGUGUUCGAUUCUCUUUAUAGCUUUAA
RNAcentral lists this transfer RNA (72 nucleotides) under Sinotaia aeruginosa. RNAcentral's name for it is "tRNA-Ser". The record is from RNAcentral. Lineage: Eukaryota; Metazoa; Mollusca; Gastropoda; Architaenioglossa; Viviparidae.